RNAcentral lists this ribosomal RNA (468 nucleotides) under uncultured bacterium. RNAcentral describes it as "partial 16S ribosomal RNA". It matches the Rfam family "Bacterial small subunit ribosomal RNA", at positions 28 to 507 of the family's 1533-position model. The record is from RNAcentral.
GACGAACGCUGGCGGCGUGCUUAACACAUGCAAGUCGAACGGAAAGGCCCUGCUUUUGUGGGGUGCUCGAGUGGCGAACGGGUGAGUAACACGUGAGUAACCUGCCCUUGACUUUGGGAUAACUUCAGGAAACUGGGGCUAAUACCGGAUAGGAGCUCCUGCUGCAUGGGGGGGGUUGGAAAGUUUCGGCGGUUGGGGAUGGACUCGCGGCUUAUCAGCUUGUUGGUGGGGUAGUGGCGUACCAAGGCUUUGACGGGUAGCCGGCCUGAGAGGGUGACCGGCCACAUUGGGACUGAGGUACGGCCCAGACUCGUACGGGAGGCAGCAGUGGGGAAUAUUGCACAAUGGGCGGAAGCCUGAUGCAGCAACGCCGCGUGCGGGAUGACGGCCUUCGGGUUGUAAACCGCUUUCGCCUGUGACGAAGCGUGAGUGACGGUAAUGGGUAAAGAAGCACCGGCUAACUACGUG